GGCACUCAGAGAUACAUUUCGCAAAAAAUAUUAAUUUAUUAAUUACAUGAAUUAUUCAGACAGAGUUGUGAACAAUUAGUUGGGUGGGUCAGUGCAACAUGAGAUACCUUUAUGCCCUAAAACAAAGCCAGUAUAUUCAGUUGAAACUGGAUGAAGGCUAUGAUAUGAAUGGCUCCAUCAGUUCACUACACACAGCAAAGGUAUUGUUUGUAUUUUUAUUCAUGUCGUCAUUGCAUGUUGAGAAAACGCCUCCAAAAAUUGUCAUUUACUGCUUUUUCCCUGGUAUACUAUUAUCUGCAUUUCAACCAGUUUCAGUGAAAUUAUAUGUAAUGCACAGUGGGGGAGUUGUUGGGUGAUAAAAGUAAAUAAUGUAGCACCAUUAUGUGUGGUUAUCAAUUUUUCAUGGACCAAUGCUGUGGAUUUAGAGCCAAUCCCAGCUGUCUCUGGGAGAGGGCAGGGUACACCCUGGACAAGUUGUCCUUCACUGAUGGCAGGGGCCGCCAUGCAAAGUGCCAACUGCACAUCAGGACCAAGGUGGGGUUCAGUAUCUUACUCAAGGACACUUCAACAUGAGGUUCAGCUCAGCCUAGGGGAGCUGGUAUUAGAGCCAGCAACCCUCCGAUCACCAGCCGACUUGCUCUACCUGUCGGCUAGUGAGCUCCAGCCGCCCCUGUGUAUAUCCAACAUGAACUGCCACAGAACCAGCGACUGAAAAUGAUUCUUCUGUCUGCUGUCAUGUAUUGGUAUCGUUGACUCCAUCCAUAACUACAGUCGCAGCCACAUGAACAAAAAAAUAGCUCAUCUUAUUGAGUCAGCUGCCAAGUGCAUACGGAAGAGAGACAAAGUCGACAUCCUGCAGUCAACACAAACUUUUAUAUUAUUCAAAAUUCCUAAAACAUUUGUGGCAAACAUACUUUUUGCAUUAUUCAAAAUACAUAUAAUACGUCUUAUUAACUGUAACUCUUUGUGAGGUUGACCUUACAUUAUAUAGUUAUUUAUCCUGUGCUUUCACAUAUUGAUUUCAAGAAAAAAAAGGUACAUUCACUGCCAAAAGGCACAUUUUAGUUUCACCCACAUUCACAAUCUAACAACAUUUUUGUAAUUGGGGUUCACAGGAGGAGAAGAUAGCGCAGAGUGAAAAAGCAAUAGACGGAGGCGAUUUGACCCAGAGGGAGUCGCCGUGGCCGUAUCUGAGUCUACAUGGAGACUAUUGAUUAAGAUGUUGGAUUUUCAAUAAAAAUAUUAAGAGAAAAUAGAAAACCAACUAAAAUAGAGAUGUGUGUCUCAUUCCACCAGUGUAGGAUGACAGUUCGUCAGUGAUUUUGAUUCAGUGUGUCACAUGAACAUUAACUUCGGAUCACAGUUAGCCGUUGUUUCAUUUUAUUUUUUGGAGUCUCAAACCAGAAAGGUUGAGAACU
This is a long non-coding RNA of Acanthopagrus latus (yellowfin seabream), 1418 nucleotides long. RefSeq lists it as uncharacterized. The record is from RefSeq and is a predicted model, not a curated record. NCBI's taxonomy places the organism in Eukaryota, Metazoa, Chordata, Actinopteri, Spariformes, Sparidae. The transcript has 3 exons.